UACGUAGGGACCAAGCGUUGUCCGGAAUCAUUGGGCGUAAAGAGCGUGUAGGCGGCUUGUUAAGUCUUGCGUGAAAUCUCGGGGCUCAACCCCGAGCGGUCGUGAGAAACUGGCAGGCUAGAGCGCGGGAGAGGAGGGUGGAAUUCCUGGUGUAGCGGUGAAAUGCGCAGAUAUCAGGAAGAACACCCGUGGCGAAGGCGGCUCUCUGGAACGCAACUGACGCUGAGACGCGAAAGCGUGGGGAGCAAACAGG
This 253-nucleotide ribosomal RNA is filed under the name uncultured bacterium. Its description in RNAcentral is "partial 16S ribosomal RNA". It matches the Rfam family "Bacterial small subunit ribosomal RNA", at positions 524 to 776 of the family's 1533-position model. The record is from RNAcentral.